UCCAGGAACAGGGUUAUAGGAGGGUAGCUCUCCAGGAACAGGGUUGGGUUACAGGAGGGUAGCUCUCCAGGAACAGGGUUGGGUUACAGGAGGGUAGCUCUCUAGGUUAAUCAAGUCAAAUGACCUGGAUUUUAACCUUUUAUUUGAAACCUUUUCCAGAAAUAAGAAUUAGAUUCCAAAUGAAAGCAAUCGUCUCAGUGUGGUGCAGGAGGACGGGGCUGGACCAGCUGACAUUAAAAAAAGGGGACAGUUUGAUUAAAAGCUUGAAAUAAAAGUACAAAUCCAGGUCAAAACACAGGGCCCUAAUUAUAGAAACACAACGUCACGGUCCCAUAACACAGGCUGGUAAAGCUCUGUCUGGAUGAGGGAAUGCUGUUGUGUCUCAUAACACCGGCUGGUAAAGCUCUCUCUUGGAUGAGGGAAUGCUGUUGUGUCAGAAGGACAUCAAAAUGUCACAUAACACCGGCUGGACACCGGCUGGUAAAGCUCUCUCUCUCUUGGAUGAGGGAAUGCUGUUGUGUCUCAUAACACCGGCUGGUAAAGCUCUCUCUCUCUUGGAUGAGGGAAGGUUGUUGUGUCUCAUAACACCGGCUGGUAAAGCUCUGUCUGGAUGAGGGAAUGCUGUUGUGUCUCAUAACACCGGCUGGUAAAGCUCUGUCUGGAUGAGGGAAGGCUGUUGUGUCUCAUAACACCGGCUGGUAAAGCUCUGUCUGGAUGAGGGAAUGUUGUGUCUCAUAACACCGGCUGGUAAAGCUCUGUCUGGAUGAGGGAAGGUUGUUGUGACUCAUAACACCGGCUGGUAAAGCUCUGUCUGGAUGAGGGAAUGUUGUGUCUCAUAACACCGGCUGGUAAAGCUCUCUCUCUCUUGGAUGAGGGAAUGUUGUUGUGUCUCAUAACACCGGCUGGUAAAGCUCUCUCUCUUGGAUGAGGGAAUGCUGUUGUGUCUCAUAACACCGGCUGGUAAAGCUCUGUCUGGAUGAGGGAAUGUUGUGUCUCAUAACACCGGCUGGUAAAGCUCUGUCUGGAUGAGGGAAUGCUGUUGUGUCUCAUAACACCGGCUGGUAAAGCUCUGUCUGGAUGAGGGAAUGUUGUUGUGUCUCAUAACACCGGCUGGUAAAGCUCUGUCUGGAUGAGGGAAGGCUGUUGUGUCUCAUAACACCGGCUGGUAAAGCUCUCUCUCUCUCUUGGAUGAGGGAAUGUUGUUGUGUCUCAUAACACCGGCUGGUAAAGCUCCCUAUUGGAUGAGGGAAUGUUGUUGUGACUCAUAACACCGGCUGGUAAAGCUCUGUCUGGAUGAGGGAAGGCUGUUGUGUCUCAUAACACCGGCUGGUAAAGCUCUGUCUGGAUGAGGGAAGGCUGUUGUGUCAGAAGGACUGUUUUAAUUACAUCAAAAUGUCACAUAAGCAUGUGACUUGUAAUUAUAUAUUUUAGAUGUUUAUAUUCAUACGCCAGAUGUCGUUUGUAAGCCUCGUUUUUUGUUCUCUCAAAGUGUUCUUUGGAUGGAUUGUGCAACAGGUGAUGGUUAUCUUUUGUUUUUGUUUUUCCGACAGCAAAGUGUGCUCACUAUAACAUGAAGUGUAUGGAGCAAUGUUUGGUUUGGAUCUGAAAUGAAUGGAUGAUGAAAAUAAACAUGGUCAGUUGUUGCACUCUGA
Oncorhynchus gorbuscha (pink salmon) is the source of this 1652-nucleotide long non-coding RNA. RefSeq lists it as uncharacterized. Lineage: Eukaryota; Metazoa; Chordata; Actinopteri; Salmoniformes; Salmonidae. The transcript is spliced from 2 exons. The record is from RefSeq and is a predicted model, not a curated record.